Molecule: small RNA, 541 nt
Filed under: Pan troglodytes (chimpanzee)
Lineage: Eukaryota; Metazoa; Chordata; Mammalia; Primates; Hominidae
Description: processed transcript
Source: RNAcentral
ACUUGGCUCUCGCCCUCCGGCCGGGAAGCAUGGGGCUUCCCAGGCUGGUCUGCGCCUUCUUGCUCGCCGCCUGCUGCUGCUGUCCUCGCGUCGCGGGUCCACAAGGAGAAGCGGACGCUCAUCUUCCGUGUGCGCCAGGGCCAGGGCCAGAGCGAACCUGGGGAGUACGAGCAGCGGCUCAGCCUCCAGGACAGAGGGGCUACUCUGGCCCUGACUCAAGUCACCCCCCAAGACGAGCGCAUCUUCUUGUGCCAGGGCAAGCGCCCUCGGUCCCAGGAGUACCGCAUCCAGCUCCGCGUCUACAAAGCUCCGGAGGAGCCAAACAUCCAGGUCAACCCCCUGGGCAUCCCUGUGAACAGUAAGGAGCCUGAGGAGGUCGCUACCUGUGUAGGGAGGAACGGGUACCCCAUUCCUCAAGUCAUCUGGUACAAGAAUGGCCGGCCUCUGAAGGAGGAGAAGAACCGGGUCCACAUUCAGUCGUCCCAGACUGUGGAGUCGAGUGGUUUGUACACCUUGCAGAGUAUUCUGAAGGCACAGCUGG